Onychomys torridus (southern grasshopper mouse) is the source of this 104-nucleotide small nuclear RNA. The record is from RefSeq and is a predicted model, not a curated record. Lineage: Eukaryota; Metazoa; Chordata; Mammalia; Rodentia; Cricetidae.
GUGCUCACUUUGGCAGCACAUAUAAAACUGGAGCAAUACAGAGAAGAUUAGUAUAGAUCCUGCACAGAAAUGACACAUAAACUUGUAAAGCAUUCUGUAUUGAA